RNAcentral lists this long non-coding RNA (2798 nucleotides) under Gallus gallus (chicken). RNAcentral's name for it is "lncRNA (ENSGALG00010021536.1)". Lineage: Eukaryota; Metazoa; Chordata; Aves; Galliformes; Phasianidae. The record is from RNAcentral.
ACUUGUGCUCUGUAAAGUGGAGAUGUAUCUUCACAGCAACAAGCUAGGUGCAUGGUCAGUGUUUAAGAAAGACAAACCCUUGCACUUUGCCUGGAGUAGGUGCCUGGUGAAGAGUAUAUGAAGCUUAAAGACACCAAUUGGAAGAGCAGAACACCAUCCGCUACCCAGAGCAGUACUGUGGCUGGAGGCUUGUCUCACCCUGAUUUGAGGAAGUGCAGUUGCUCAGCUAUACUUCCCAGUCCCCUUAGUGCUGGCUGGCAAAGGAGCGGCUUCUGCGCCUUGUACAGAUACAGCUCACCAUUAACUUAUGAAGAAACUGAUGUGCAGUUGUGAGAUCUGUACCUGCGUACAGCAGGUAUUAAUGACCACAUCCAGAUCACACUUCACAGGAUUAGAAUGGAUGCCCCUUGCUGCCACCGCCAGCAACUAUUUGUUCUGUUCUAGUAUUCCUUCUUCUCUAUAAUACUUGUCAAGCGAGAUAUUAAGUUUGCUACUCAGCCAAGAAACCACCUCCACAUAUGCUGACCAAGCAGCUGUCUAGCUUAGGGGGAUGAAGCAGUUUUUGUUUGUUUCCUUCAGUUCUGAGGUUUACUGUCCAGGGACUGGCAGCAGCCAGCAUUCGUCCCACUGGUAUAGAUCAUGCUUCAAAACAGGCUUUGGGAGGAUCCCCGGUCUCUGACUGAAAGGGUAGAGUAAGACUCUGACAAAAUAGAAGUAAAGGGAGAAGGGAAAUGAGCCAGCUUGGGGAUUCUCCUGAGCAGCUGCCUCACCACUGGAUUAUUAGCACAAAUCCCUCGAGCAUCUUCUCAGGUCAGGAGGGCUUUUUUUUGCUUCCAAAUACUGAGAAAGAGCCUAUGAAGCAAAGAAACAAAAGCCUGCUGCUCAGAUUAUUACAAGCAGUUAAAUGAAUUAUGACCACUUCUGCUGGCAAACCUCUUUCCCACAGACCAGCAUGGUGGCAGUGGUGAUGUCUGCCUCUGAAGGAAUGAUCAAUCCGCAAACAAGGGCUAAUUUUCUCUGCUGCAGGUGGAGGAUGUUAAAACUAUGCUGCUGAUAAUAGGGUUUGAGUGCAACAGGAGAGGCAAGGUGUCAAUAGCAUUACAAUAACAGUGAGGCACUGCAGCAAGUAAGGCUUUUUGUCUAACGAAGUGUAGUUCCCUACAAGAAGUUGGAGGCUCUGAAAUAAGCAUGGUAUGAGAUUGCCUCUGCUGUCAAUUUAUUAACUCUGUGUAGCUUGCUGGAGACCUUAAGUGUUCCUUGCUAAACAGAAUUUACACUUUAAUGUAUAUUACUGAAAUAUAUAACUCACUUUUAGACAGCAUUUUUCAUCUUGAAAGGACCCUAAGCUCUUUGCUGAUUGUGCAUAAUGGAAUCGCUCAGCCACCAAUGACAUAUAGUCAUCUCUGGGGCAUAAUGAAGCAAGAAAACUUGCAGAGAGAGAAAAAAAUAUCUUCUGUUGGAAGUGCAUGGGAAUUAAGGGAGCUAGAAGGUAAUUACCCAAAACAGAAGAUGUUUGCACACACAGCCGCUUUAACUGUUUGGGAAAAUUGUGCUGUUUCUGUGGCACAAAAGGAGCAGAGAGCAGCUCUUAAGCUAAUGGUGUUGGGAACUGGUAGCCCCUGGGAGAUGCUUCCUUCUACCCCUCGAUUUGGCAGACAGCAUCUUUUUAAACAGGAGAAAAACAGUGGCAAAUGCACUACUGUAGUCCUUAUCUGGUAGGAGGUUUCACCUUGGUAAUCCUCCAGACCAAAGCCUACAGCCCCUCUGGGGUUUGUCGACACGAGUGUGCAGCAGUCAGCCAAAAUGCCUGUCAUUAGGAAGGAGGAAGAGAGCAAAACCUUUCCUCAGUACAGGCAGGUAGGUUUCUGCAGCAAGGCAAUGACCCCAUCCAGAGAAUUCCCUGCUGCCUAUGGAGAUCGAUGUGACUGCAUUUGGCCUCCUCAUGCAGGCCAAAAGUCAGAGAAAAUGGCCUCUGGAGGAUCCCUGAGGCCUCAGCUCAGGACUGAGGCGCAUUAUGCAGCAGAGUGCUUUGCCAUCUGCUGUGCUAAAUUCAGCCCCUUAAAAUGAGUUUGGUAAUGCAAGAGGUGACCUUAAAUGUGCAAGGUCAAGACUGAACAGGGUUGCCAUCUAUGAGAGAGAUUCUGAACCCUGGAAAUGACACUCAAGGUGGACCUUGUUACACAUACGUGUAUCCUUGACAUAAGGUAUAGUUUACAAUGAUAAUUAGAUUGUGUUGGGCAUAAUCGAUGCUCCUCUGCAGCUCUCCUAUUCCUACAGCUCAAACAUCACCAGCUUCACUGUGUUACACAUUUCAGAAAAACUGAGAUGGCAGAGAGCUGGGACAGGGCUUUGUCCUCUUGUGUUUGAAGUACGUUGUCCUCAGGUUUGAGAGACAGACAAUGGACAAUGUCAGUCUAAUAUUAAUCUUUGGCAGUAGAAUUUGCAGAUUUUGAGGAAAAUAGAAGCAGUCUAAAAGAACAGGAUUUCUAUUAUCUUGAGUCUUCGCAGUUGUGACAGAAUCAAAUGUCAUCAAAUCUUUUGUUUUUAAUGCUAAUGUGAUAUUUUUUCCUGUCAGUUGUACUCAUUUUACAACUAAACUUUGCCCGCUUUCUUUACGUUGUUUGAUAUGUCAAAAGAAACACAUACUGCUUCUUUCUGAAGAAAUCAAAAUGUUUUAUUUUUGCUUUGACAGUUUAAAUUUCCUGACAUUUGCAUUACGAACUGUAUUAACAUUCUCCUCUGUGUUUUAAUUGAAAUGUUUAAGCAAUCUCCAAAACAAAUAAAUAAAUCAAAACAUU